Molecule: ribosomal RNA, 660 nt
Filed under: Triticum aestivum (bread wheat)
Lineage: Eukaryota; Viridiplantae; Streptophyta; Magnoliopsida; Poales; Poaceae
Description: partial small subunit ribosomal RNA
Source: RNAcentral
AUGAGACAAUAUUGGUGGGGUGUGGAGAAUGGAAAGAGGAAGAUGGCAUGGCUAAGUUGGGAAAAAAUGGUGUUACCCAAGGAUGGGGGUAUGGGAUUCAGAGAUAUGCGUGCAUUCAACCAAGCAUUGUUGGCUAAGCAAGCUUGGAGAUUGUUGGAUAGCCCGGACAGCCUUUGUGCCCGCCUACUCCAUGCAAAGUAUUACCCCAAUGAAAACUUGAUGGAUACAGUGUUCCCCUCAUCCUCAUCAGCAGUUUGGAGGGGCAUCACACACGGUUUGGAGCUGCUUAAAAAUGGGUUGAUUUGGAGAGUCAGCGAUGGUUCUUUGAUAAAAACUUGGAGAGAUGCAUGGAUUCCGAGGGGGCAUGACUUCAAACCUAUCACCCCGAAGGGUACAUGCAGGUACCAUUGGGUGGCUGUUUUCCUUGAGGAAUCUGGUGCAUGGAAUGUUCAAAGACUCCGCCAAUAUUUCUGGGACAUGGAUGUCCGAGAGAUCCUAAAAAUUCGGACGUCACCUAGGAGGGGACAAGACUUCCUUGCUUGGUUCCCGGAGAAAAGUGGAAGAUUUUCAGUGAGAAGCGUGUACCGGCUUGCGAUAUUCCAUAUGCAUACGGGGUUGGGUGCGUCAUGUGUUGCACCGGAGGGCCAGCGUCCAAUCUAG